GAUGAACGCUGGCGGCGUGCCUAAUACAUGCAAGUCGAACGCAUUGUGGUUGAAAUGAUAUGAAGAACUUGUUCAGAUUUGAUUUUCAACAUUGCAAUGAGUGGCGAACGGGUGAGUAACACGUGGGAAACCUACCUCUUAGCAGGGGAUAAACAUUUGGAAACAAAUGCUAAUAACCGUAUAAUAAUUAAAAACCGCAUGGUUUUAGUUUAAAAGAUGGUCUUGCUAUCACUAAGAGAUGGUCCCGCGGUGUAUUAGUUAGUUGGUGAGGUAAUGGCUCACCAAGACAAUGAUACAUAGCCGAGUUGAGAGACUGACCGGCCACAAUGGGACUGAGACACGGCCCAUACUCCUACGGGAGGCAGCAGU
RNAcentral lists this ribosomal RNA (369 nucleotides) under uncultured bacterium. RNAcentral's name for it is "bacterial SSU rRNA". It matches the Rfam family "Bacterial small subunit ribosomal RNA", at positions 28 to 355 of the family's 1533-position model. The record is from RNAcentral.